Long non-coding RNA from Anolis carolinensis (green anole), 3347 nucleotides. RefSeq lists it as uncharacterized. The transcript is spliced from 2 exons. Lineage: Eukaryota; Metazoa; Chordata; Lepidosauria; Squamata; Anolidae. The record is from RefSeq and is a predicted model, not a curated record.
UUGUAUGUACAUACAGCUGCUCUGAGUCCCCUUCGGGGUGAGAAGGGUGGGAUAUAAAUGUAGUAAAUAAAUGCAGUCAAUAAAUAAUUAAUUUUAGACUUAGGCUCGGCCAAAGUCUGACACGACUUGAAGGCACACAACAACAAUAACAAUCCUAAUUAACCUGACUAUCUCAUUGGUCAGUAGCAGGCCCACACUUUCCAUUGAAAUCCUAAUAGGUUUAUGUUGGUUAAAAUUGUUUUCAUUUUUAAAUAUUUUAUUGUUCUUUCAUUGUUGUUGUUGUUGUUGUUGUUGUUGUACUACAAAUAAGACAUGUGCAGUAUGCAUAGGUAUUUGUUUGUAUUUUUUUUUCCAAAUGAUAAUUCGGCCCCUCCACAGUCUGAAGGAUUGUGGACCGGCCCUCUGCUUAAAAAGUUUGGGGACCCCUGCUCUACUGUAUAGGUGCUGAAUUUGCUUUAGGAAAAGGAUUCAACACCCUGGAUAGCUACUUGCAACUUAAGACUAAAUAGCAGCACAUCUUUAUUAACUCACUGCCAUUGAAACCACCAGUCACUACUGUUCCCCACACUUUAAAUGAUAACUUGAAUACUAAGCAAAGGACAAGAGCCAUGCAGCUAUGGACAAGUCUCCAUAGGGACUACCAAACGCAGCAAUGCCCAAACACUAAUCAAGAAACAUGAAAGGCACCGCAGACUAACUCAGCCAGGGAAGUCAGCCAUAGCAGAGCACUUGAUGAACCAACCUGGACACAGCAUAUUAUGCGAAAACACAGAAAUGCUGGACCACUCUCACAAACACCACGCCAGAUGAUACAGAGAAGCCACUGAAAUCCACAAGCAUGUGGACAAUUUCAACAGAAAGGGAGAAACCAUGAGAAUGAACAAAAUGUGGCUAACAGUAUUAAAAAAAACCUCUAAAAUCAGGACAAUAAAUAAAGAACAACACUCUGAAAACAGGGGAAUUCCAGACAUGAAACAAUCAGGGCCAGCUAAGACCUCCCAACAAAGGAUUCUGCCCAAGGAGGAAUUAGCCAAGCACUGAGCUGCAAGACCAUUAAAUGCUAAUCAAGCUGGCCAAUUAUAACAUCCACACUGGCCUCCAACAGACAAGAGUUUUUUUCUCUCACCUCCCACAGAUAUAUAAACCUCCCUUGCUUAGUUUCCAAUAUACCUCACUCCCUCUGAGAAUGCCUGCCAUAGAUGUGGGUGAAAUGUCAAGAGAGAAUGCUUCUAGAACAUAGCCAUACAGCCCGGAAAACUCAUAACAACCCAGUGAUUCCAGCCAUGAAAGCCUUUGACAAGAACUUGAGCACUGUUCAAAAUUCUAGUUUUUUAAGUGCAUUUUGGGGACAGCUCCUUGCUUACCAUGCUGAGCAGAGCCUUAGAUCCUUUCACAUAGUCAUAUAACCCAGAAUAUCAAGGCAGAUAAUCCACAAUAUCUGCUUUGAACUGAGUUAUCUGAGUCCACAUUGCCAUAUAAUCUAGUUAAAUGUGGAUUUUAUAUAGCUGUGUAGAAGGGGCUUUCGACUUGCACCGCAAAGUUCUGCUCUGCUGACAACACUUGGGCCAAUGGGAUACACUAGAAAAGUUUCAAAGCAGAAGGACAUAUGGUUUGGCUCUUAACAUCCAGCAUUACCCUUUGAAUCUCCAUCUUAAGGUGGAGUUCUGUCACAGACCUGUCAUGUAUUACUUUCUGUGCCAAGAAGUUCCCAAGUAUGUUGCUCAGUGGAUAAAAAGGGACUGGGGAAGAUGGUGAGAAAAAAACAGAUAAAAAGGCCUGGAAGGGAACUGGCAAGAGAAAUACUGGUGCCUCUUAAACUGGAAUUUUAAAAUGCAAUAUCUGGUGUAUCUGGAGAAAGAUGUCUGGAGCAUAAGCACCUGUGUUACAUGUCUUGCUUUGCUUUGCCCUUGCCAUUAUCUGCUAGUCAAUAGAUACACUGUGUGUGAAAUUUCAGGGUAUAUUGUUGGCUACUAUCCUCCAGUCUUUCACUCCAUUCUCUUUCUUCAAAUCUUGUUUUAAAAGGCACACCUUACCUGUAAAAUCGUUGGCUGUCUUUUUCAUGCCUAUUACAGAGGUGGGCAAAAUGUGACCCUCCAGAUGCCAUAGCUGAUGGUGAGGGAUGCUGGAAGUUGGUGCCUAACAAUACAGGACAAGGAUCCUUUGCCCACUCUUGCCUGACUUCAAUUAAGCUUGUAAGUUACUAAGCCUGGAUGCAGGAACUAUGUUGUUCACAAUUGCAUCAAUAUAAAUGGCCAGUCAGAGAAAUAAAGAAGCAGAUUCCUUAUGAGUAUCUGAUAAUAGAGUCGGCUGAUUUUGAAUGUGGAUAUAUGAUGUCCAAAUCAGCUUUGGUUGUGGUGUGAUGUUUCACAGAACAAGGCAAACUACCUCAUUCCCACCCAGCAUUAUUUACUGGCUAUAAUACUUCCUAAUACUUUCCUAUCACUUGCCUCCUGGUCUAUUUCACUAGGGUUGUGAAUGUCGAUGCUCUGAGUACAAAAAAGAUCUUCGAGGUAAGGUUACUCCCCAUACUAUACUUAAGAGCCAUGAACUCACCAGAUGGCUUCAGGUAAGCUCCUGUCUCUUGACCUCAGCCCUCCAUUUUCAGGAGUAUAAUACUUUCUUACAUUGGAGAGUUGUGCUAUUUCUGAAGAGUAAUGCCUAUGAAGGGAUUCAAUUCUACUAUGUUACAGGUACACAAAUUAUCAUUCAGUUAUCUUAUUUCUACACUCAAAUAGUCUAAAAUAUACCCAUUGAGCUUUUCUUUUUUGCAGAAAGCGACUUGUUUAUUAAUUUAUUACAUUUAUUUCUGCUUUCCCUUGAAGGAGCUCAAGACAGCAUCUACGGUUUCUCACUUUUAUCCUCAUAACAACCCUGUAAGCAUUGUUGACUGGGCUUUAGCACAGCGGGUUAAACCACCAACUGCAUAUAAAUCUUGUCAGUCGAGAGGUUGACAGUUCGAAGCCCUGGUCAGGGUGAGCUCCUGACCUUUAGUCCAGCUUCCACCUACCUAGUGGUUCGGAAGCAAAAUGUGAGUAGAUCAACACGAACCACUUAAAAGCGGAGAAGUAUUAAGACACCCAGAAGGAAAUGCCAGCGAUUUAAUCAAAAGGAGGAAGUUACAAACAAAACUCUCUGGCAGGGAGUGACAGCCAUCAGUGGCCUGAGUGCAAGCGUCCAAGAAGUCGAAGAUGGGAAAUGCCAUACCUCUAUGUUCAAUUGUCUGUCUUGUUUGUGAAUAAAAACAGCAUUGAGUGUUUGUUACAUAAUGUGUUCUGUGAUCUGCCCUGAGUCCCCUUUGGGGUGAGAAGGGCAGAAUAUAAAUUCUAUAAAUAAAAUAAAUGAAUGAA